AGAGGAGCCAAGCGUUGUCCGGAUUGACUGGGCGUAAAGCGCACGCAGGCGGACGCGCGCGUGGGGUGUGAAAUCUGGCCGCUUAACGGCCAGGCGCCAUCCCAUACGGCGGGUCUGGAGCCUUGCAGAGGUCGGUGGAAUUGCCGGUGUAGUGGUGAAAUGCGUAGAGAUCGGCAGGAACACCCAGGGGGAAACCAGCCGACUGGGCAAGUGCUGACGCUGAGGUGCGAGAGCGUGGGGAGCGAACCGGAUUAGAUACCCGGGUAGUCCACGCCGUAAACGAUGGCCACUCGGCCUUUGGGGGCGGAAUCUCCGUCCGUGGGGGCCUUAGCAAACGCGGGAAGUGGCCCGCCUGGGAACUACGAGCGCAAGCUUA
Molecule: ribosomal RNA, 376 nt
Filed under: uncultured bacterium
Lineage: Bacteria
Description: bacterial SSU rRNA
Rfam family: Bacterial small subunit ribosomal RNA
Source: RNAcentral